GACGAACGCUGGCGGCGUGCCUAAUACAUGCAAGUUGAGCGAUGAAGCUUGGUUCUUGCACCAAUUUGAAGAGCAGCGAACGGGUGAGUAACGCGUGGGGAAUCUGCCUUUGAGCGGGGGACAACAUUUGGAAACGAAUGCUAAUACCGCAUAACAACUUUAAACAUAAUUUUUAUGUUCGAAAGAUGCAAUUGCAUCACUCAAAGAUGAUCCCGCGUUGUAUUAGCUAGUUGGUGAGGUAAAGGCUCACCAAGGCGAUGAUAGAUAGCCGACCUGAGAGGGUGAGCGAGCACAUCGGGGCUGAGACACGGCCCAAUCGCCUACGGGAGGCAGCAGUAGGGAAUACUGGGCGAAGGAGGAAAGAAUGAUCGAGAAUCGCCGCGUGCGUGAAGAAGGAUCUCGGAUCGUAAAACGCUGUUGGUAGAGAAGAAAGUCGGUGAGGGUGGAAAGGUCAUCAAGGUACCGUAACUACGCAGAGAGGGACGGCUAACUACGUG
RNAcentral lists this ribosomal RNA (497 nucleotides) under uncultured bacterium. RNAcentral's name for it is "partial 16S ribosomal RNA". It matches the Rfam family "Bacterial small subunit ribosomal RNA", at positions 28 to 507 of the family's 1533-position model. The record is from RNAcentral.